This 497-nucleotide ribosomal RNA is filed under the name uncultured bacterium. RNAcentral describes it as "partial 16S ribosomal RNA". It matches the Rfam family "Bacterial small subunit ribosomal RNA", at positions 28 to 507 of the family's 1533-position model. The record is from RNAcentral.
GAUGAACGCUGGCGGCGUGCCUAAUACAUGCAAGUCGAGCGAACAGAUGAGGAGCUUGCUCCUCUGACGUUAGCGGCGGACGGGUGAGUAACACGUGGAUAACCUACCUAUAAGACUGGGAUAACUUCGGGAAACCGGAGCUAAUACCGGAUAAUAUAUUGAACCGCAUGGUUCAAUAGUGAAAGACGGUUUUGCUGUCACUUAUAGAUGGAUCCGCGCCGCAUUAGCUAGUUGGUAAGGUAACGGCUUACCAAGGCAACGAUGCGUAGCCGACCUGAGAGGGUGAUCGGCCACACUGGAACUGAGACACGGUCCAGACUCCUACGGGAGGCGGCAGUAGGGAAUCUUCCGCAAUGGGCGAAAGCCUGACGGAGCAACGCCGCGUGAGUGAUGAAGGUCUUCGGAUCGUAAAACUCUGUUAUUGGGGAAGAACAAAUGUGUAAGUAACUAUGCACGUCUUGACGGUACCUAAUCAGAAAGCCACGGCUAACUACGUG